This 253-nucleotide ribosomal RNA is filed under the name uncultured bacterium. RNAcentral describes it as "partial 16S ribosomal RNA". It matches the Rfam family "Bacterial small subunit ribosomal RNA", at positions 524 to 776 of the family's 1533-position model. The record is from RNAcentral.
UACGAAGGGGGCUAGCGUUGUUCGGAAUUACUGGGCGUAAAGGGCGCGCAGGCGGCCGCUCAAGUCAGGUGUGAAAGCCCCGGGCUCAACCUGGGAACUGCACUUGAUACUGACUGGCUAGAGUUCGGGAGAGGAGAGUGGAAUUCCCAGUGUAGAGGUGAAAUUCGUAGAUAUUGGGAAGAACACCGGUGGCGAAGGCGGCUCUCUGGACCGAUACUGACGCUGAGGAGCGAAAGCGUGGGGAGCGAACAGG